RNAcentral lists this ribosomal RNA (1142 nucleotides) under human gut metagenome. Its description in RNAcentral is "bacterial SSU rRNA". It matches the Rfam family "Bacterial small subunit ribosomal RNA", at positions 361 to 1520 of the family's 1533-position model. The record is from RNAcentral.
AUAUUGGGCAAUGGAGGCAACUCUGACCCAGCCAUGCCGCGUGAGUGAAGAAGGUUUUCGGAUUGUAAAGCUCUUUCGGAUGUGACGAUGAUGACGGUAGCAUCUAAAGAAGCCCCGGCUAACUUCGUGCCAGCAGCCGCGGUAAUACGAAGGGGGCGAGCGUUGUUCGGAAUUACUGGGCGUAAAGGGUGUGUAGGCGGUUAUGUAAGAUAGCGGUGAAAUCCCGGGGCUUAACCUCGGAAUAGCCGUUAUAACUAUGUAGCUAGAGUUAUGGAGAGGAUAGCGGAAUACCCAGUGUAGAGGUGAAAUUCGUAGAUAUUGGGUAGAACACCGGUGGCGAAGGCGGCUAUCUGGCCAUAUACUGACGCUGAGGCACGAAAGCAUGGGGAUCAAACAGGAUUAGAUACCCUGGUAGUCCAUGCUGUAAACGAUGAAUGCUGGUUGUCGGCUUUAGGGUCGGUGACGAAGUUAACGCGAUAAGCAUUCCGCCUGGGGAGUACGGUCGCAAGAUUAAAACUCAAAGGAAUUGACGGGGACCCGCACAAGCGGUGGAGCAUGUGGUUUAAUUCGAUGCAACGCGAAGAACCUUACCAACUCUUGACAUCCUUAUCGGGGGGCGCAGAGAUGAGCCCUUUCAGUUAGGCUGGAUAAGUGACAGAUGCUGCAUGGCUGUCGUCAGCUCGUGUCGUGAGAUGUUGGGUUAAGUCCCGCAACGAGCGCAACCCCUGCUAUCAGUUGCCAGCGAGUAAAGUUGGGCACUCUGAUAGGACUGCCGGUGACAAGCCGGAGGAAGGUGGGGAUGACGUCAAGUCAUCAUGGCUCUUACGAGUUGGGCUACACACGUGCUACAAUGGUAACUACAGAGGGGAGCGAGGCCGCGAGGUUGAGCCAAUCUUAAAAAGUUAUCUCAGUUCGGAUUGUUCUCUGCAACUCGAGAACAUGAAGUUGGAAUCGCUAGUAAUCGCGGAUCAGCAUGCCGCGGUGAAUACGUUCCCGGGUCUUGUACACACCGCCCGUCACGCCAUGGGAGUUGGUUCUGCCUGACGGCGUUGAGGUAACCCGCAAGGGAGCCUGGCGACCACGGUAGGGUCAGCGACUGGGGCGAAGUCGUAACAAGGUAGCCGUAGGGGAACCUGCGGCUG